CAGUCUGGGUGACAGAGUGAGACUCUAUCUCAAAAACAUAAUAAUUGGAAUAAUAAAAGAAAAUGCAAAAAUUCAAACAACUUAACAGAAACUGGGCAAAAGAGCUGAACUGGCCCUCCACAGAAGAGGAAAUGUGGAGGAACGGCUAAUGAAAACACGAAGAGGGGCUCAGCCCAACGGGGAGAUAUCAUGUGACACCCACCAGACUGGCAGAAAUCCCACAACCCAAUCAAUGCCAGUGUUGGGGAGAAGGGAGAGUAGCAGGAACACCAGGCACUGCUAAGAAUGGUUAUGAAAUAUAUUUUUGUUACGCUUGUAUAUGAAAGGGGGUGUGUUGUGGGUUAUGAGGAAAAUUAUAUUUCUUACCUGGGAUGAAAUUUUAAAACUUGAAAGCUACUGACCCGAAGAAACUUGCACGUGUGUAAAAAGAAAUGCCCAAGAACGUUCCUAGCAAAACACAGUCCUAAGGGCCCCAACCUGGCCAAACACUCACCCACAGGGAAAUGAAGACAUUUCCCGUGCUCCCCUCAGACGACGGGAGAUCACACAGCAAUGACAAUGAAUCAUGUCAGUGUGGUUGGGUCUCAGGGAGAGAAUGGAGAUGGGAGAUCACACAAUGAAAAUGAACCACGUCAGUUUGGGUGGGUCUCAGGGAGAGAAUGGAGAUGGGAGAUCACACAAUGAAAAUGAACCACGUCAGUGUGGGUGGGCCUCAGGGAGAAUGGAGAUGGGAGAUCACACAAUGAAAAUGAACCACAUCAGUGUGGGUGGGUCUCAGGGGGAGAAUGGAAGACAAAGACAGACAUUAAGCAGAUGCUCAGAGCCAUGCAGCAUAGGAGCAGCCACGCAGGAGAAUUUCCUCACAUCAAAGUUCAAAACUACAGCCGAGGCAACAGAGCAAGACCCUGCCUCAAAAAGAAAACAGAAAGUUCAAAAACUAAAUGGCAUAUUUUUUGGGAUGUACACAUACGCGGUGAAAGAAACGUACUGUGAAGAAAAGUACGGGAACAAUAAAGACUAAAGCAGGAAGUGAUUCCCUCUGUAGAAGAAGGGAAGGGACUGGGACUCAGGCAGGGCCUCCAGGGAACAUCUGAAGUUAUGUCUCUUCAGAUUCAUUCCCUAAACUUGGUGGAGGUCCUCUGUGUCCAAUGUGUCGAUAUUCUUUAUAUUUUACCCAUAUUGUACCAAUGCUUUAUUUCUAUUCAAUAUUUAGAAGACAGUUAUAAACAAGAUGCAUUAAAUAGCAAGAUGGCCGAUGAACAUCAGGAAGGAACAUCCAUGAGGUUCCAUCCACAGAACCUCACCAUGGAUACGCUUGUGAUCAAAGGCCUGGUCUCCCCUCACGACACAGAGCAGAGGCCGCACCAUCAUAGUGGAGCAGGAGCAGCUGGGACAGGGCCCUUCUGUGAACCUGCUGCAUCGCCAGGCUGUGCAAACGGACUCAGCGGCCAGAACUCACAGAGUAUCAGUAUCAGCACCGAAACCUCACAGGAAAAACGCUCCACAAACUUUAGACUUAAACAGCAUCACUGGCUCCUGACCAGGAUUCCAGCUCCACGAACCUCAAACUACAACACCAGCCUUCCUUCUCCUUAGGGCUCCAGCUCCAAAACCUAAGACAUCAGUGGCAGUACCUACUCCUCCUGGAGGCUCCAGCUCUGACAGCCUCAGACUUGAACCGCAGCACCAGCUCUUCCCCGGAUCUCCAGCUCCACCACCCUCAGAUUUAAACAGCAGCAGCACCAGCUCAUCUGUGGGUCUCUAGCUCCACGACACUCAAACUAGGACAACAUCAGCUCAUCCCCGGGUCGCCAACUGCAUGACAAUCCAACUAGAAACACACCAGCUCCUCCCUGGGUCUCCAGCUCCACAAACCUCACACGACAAAGGCAACACCAGCUCCUCCUCAGGUCUCCAGCUUUACAACCUAAGACAGUGGCAGCUCCAGCUCCUCCCAGGGGCUCAAGCUCCGAGCCUCUCAGACUUGAACCUCAGCACUAGCUCUUCCCUGGAUCUCCAGCUCGACGACCUUCAGAUUUACACAACAGAAGAACUAGCUCCUCCCUGGGUCUCCAGAUACACGACCCUCAACUAGAACAUCAGCUCUUCUCCAGGUCUCCAGCUCCAGGGCCGACAAACUAGAACAACAACGCUCCCCCCUAUAUCUCCAGAUCAACAAACCUCAAAUAGGAAUGCCAACACCGCUCCUCCGCAGGUCUCCAGCUUCACAACCCAAAACUAGAAACACCAACACAAGCUCCUCCGCGGGUCUCCAACUCCACGACCCACAAACUAGAACAACGCUCCCCCCGUAUCUCCAGCUCCACAACCCUCAACUAGAAACACCAACUCCGGCUCCUCCGUGGGUCUCCAGCUCCACGACCCUCAACUAGAAACACCAACUCCAGCUCCUCCGUGGGACUCCAGCUGCAUGACCCUCAAUGAGAAACACCAACACCGUCUCCUCCGUGGGUCUCAAGCUCCAGACCCUGAACCAGAAACACCAACAACAGCUCCUCCACAGGUCUCCAGCUCCGCGACCCACGAACUAGAAAACAAUGCUCCACCCUGUAUCUCUUGCUCCACAACCCUCAACGAGAAACACCACCACUGGCUCCUUCACGGGUCUCCAGCUCCACGACCCACAAACCAGAAAACAAUGCUCCACCCUAUAUCUCCAGCUCCACAACCCUCAACGAGAAACAUGAACUCCAGCUCCUCCACGGGUCUCCAGCUCCACAAACCACAAACUAGAAAACAACGCUGCACCCUGUAUCUCCAGCUCCACAACCCUCAACAGGAAACACCAACAAUGGCUCCUCCGUGGGUCUCCAGCUCCACAACCCUCAACUAGAAACACCAACACCAGCUGCUCCGCAAGUCUUCAGCUGCACGACCCUGAACUAGAAACACCAACAGCGGGUCCUUUGCAGGUCUCCAGGACCACGACCCUCAACUAGAAACACCAACAGUGGCUCCUCCACGGGUCUGCACCUCCAUGACCAUCAACUAGAAGCACCAACAGCGGCUCUUCCGAAGGUCUCCAGCACCACAACCUAAACAAGAAACACCAACACCGGCUCCGCUGCAGGUCUCCUCCUCUACGACCUUCAGCUACAAACACCAACACUGGCUCCUCCGCGAGUCUCCAGCUCCACAACCUACAAACUAGAAAACAACACUCCACCCUGUAUCUCCAGCUCCACAACACUCAACGAGAAACACCAACAACGGCUCCUCCGCGGGUCCCAGUUCUACAACCCACAACUAGAAACACCAACACUGGCUCCUUGGCAGGUCUCCAGCUCCACGACUCUCAACUAGAAACAUCAACUCUGGCUCCACCAUGGGUCUCCAACUCCACGACCCUCAACUAGGAACACCAACUCCAGCUCCUCAACGGGUCUCCAGCUCCACAACCCACAAACAAGAAAACAAUGCUCCGCCCUGUAUCUCUAGCUCCACAACCCUCAACAAGAAACACCAGCACCAGCUCCUCCACGGGUCUCCAGCUCCACAACCCACAAACUAGAAAACAAUGCUCCACCCUGUAUCUCCAGCUCCACAACCCUCAACAAGAAACACCACCAUGGGCUACUCUGCGGAUCUCCAGCUCCGCGACCCACAAACUAGAAAACAAUGCUCUACCCUGUAUCUCCAGGUCUACAACCCUCAAUGAGAAACACCAACAACGGCUCCUCCGAGGGUCUCCAGCUCCACGAUCCUCAACUAGAAACACGAACACCAUCUCCUCUGUGGGUCUCUAGCUCCACAAUCAUCAACUAGAAAUACCAACAAUGGCUCCUCCAUAUGUCUCCAACUCCACGACCCUCAACCAGAAACACCAACGACAGCUCCUCCACGGGUCUCCAGCUCCAUGACCCACAAACUAGAAAACAACGCUCCACCCUGUAUCUCCAGCUCCACAAACAUCAACUAGAAACAUCAACUGCAGUUUCUCCGCGAGUCUCCAGCUCCAAAACCCUCAACUACAAACACCAAGACAGGCUCCUCCGCAGGUCUCCAGCUCCACAAUCCUCAAUUAGAAACAACAAAACCGGCUCCUCUGCGGGUCUCCAGCUCCACAAACCACAAACUAGAAAACAACGCAUCACCUUAUAUUUCGGGCUCCACAACAGUCAAUGAGAAACACCAACAAUGGCUCCUCCACGGGUCUCCAACUCCCCAAACCUUAACUAGAAACAUCAACACUGGCUCCUCCGUGGGACUCCAGCAACACGACCUUCAACUACAAACACCAACACCGGCUCCUGACGGGUCUCCAGCUCCACGACAUUUAACUAGAAACACCAACAGCUUCUCGUCAACAGGUCUCCAGCACCAUGACGCUCAGCAAGAAAAAACAACACUGGAUCCUCUGCGGGACUCCAGCUCCACGAUCCUCAACUAGAAACAUCAACAAUGGCUCCUCCACGUGUCUCCAACUCCAAACUUUCAACCAGAAACACCAACGACAGCUUCUCCAUGGGUCUCCAGCUCCACCACCCACAACCUAGAAAACAACGCUCCACCCUGCAUCUACAGCUCCACGACCCUAAAACAAAGACACCAACAGCGGCUACUCCGCCAACGCCACCUCGAUGACCCUCAACUAAAACACCAACUCCGGCUCCUCCAUGGGUCUCCAGUUCCCCGACCCUCAACUAGAAACACCAACUCCAGCUCCACCACAGGUCUCCAACUCCACAACCCACAAACCAGAAAACAAUGCUCCACCUUGUAUCUGUAGCUCCACAAGCCUCAACGAGAAACACCACCACCGGCUCCUCCACGGGUCUACAGCUCGAUGAAACACAAACUAGAAAACAAUGCUCUACCCUGUAUCUUCAGCUCCACGACCCUCAAAUAAAAACACCAACAGCAACUACUCCGCCAUCUCCACCUCGAUGACCCUCAACUAGAAACACCAACUCCAGCUCCUCCAUGGGUCUCCAGCUCCACUACCCUCAAUUAGAAACACCAAUGACAGCUCCUCCACGGGUCUCCAGCUCCAUGACCCACAAAUUAGAAAACAAUGCUCCACCCUGUAUCUCCAGCUCCACAAACCUUAAACAAAGACCCCCACAGCGGCUAUUCCGCCAUCGACACCUGGAUGACCCUCAACUACAAACACCAACUCCGGCUCCUCCAUGGGUCUCCAGCUCCAUGACCCUCAACUAAAAACACCAACUCCAGCUCCUCCACAGAUCUCCAGCUCCACGACCCACAAAUCAGAAAACAACGCUCCACCCUGUAUCUCCAGCUCCACAAUCCUCAACGAGAAACACCACCACCGGCUCCUCUGCGGGUCUCCAGCUCAAACACCCACAAACUAGAAAACAACACUCCACCCUGUAUCUUCAGCUCCACAACCCUCAACGAGAAACACGAACAACGGCUCCUCUGCGGAUAUCCAGCUCCACUAUCAUCAACUAGAAACACCAACAAUGGCUCCUCCGCAUGUCUCCAACUCCACGACCCUCAACCAGAAACACCAUCGAAACCUCCUCCACGGGUCUCCAGGUCCGUGACCCACAAACUAGAAAACAACGCUCCACCCUGUAUCUCCAGCUCCACGACCCUCAAAGAAAAACACCAAGAGCAGCUGCUCCACCAUCUCCAACUCGAUGACCCUCAACUAGAAACACCAACUUCACCUUCUCCAUGGGUCUCCAGCUCCACGACCCUCAACUAGAAACACCAACUCCAGAUCCUCCACGGGUCUCCAGCUCCGUGACCCACAAACUAGAAAACAAUGCUGCACCCUGUAUCUCCAGCUCCACACACAUCAACUAGAAACACCAACUGCAGUUCCUCCACGAGUCUCCAGCUACAAAACCCUCAACUACAAACACCAACAUGGGCUCCUCCACAAGUCUCCAGCUCCACGAUCCUCAAUUAGAAACAACAAAACCGGCUCCUCCGCAGGUCUCCAGCUCCGCAAACCAAAAACUAGAAAACAACACAUCACCCUAUAUCUCCAGCUCCACAACAGUCACCGAGAAACACCAACAAUGGCCCCUCCACAGGUCUCCAACUCCCCAAAGCUCAACUACAAACACCAACACCGGCUCCUCCGUGGGUCUCCAGCAACACGACCCUCAACUACAAACACCAACACUGGCUUCUGGUGGGUCUCCAGCUCCACGACAUUCAACUAGAAACACCAACAGCUUCUCCUCCGCAGGUCUCCAGCACCAUGACCCUCAGCAAGAAACACUAACACCGGAUGCUCCAUGGGACUCCAGCUCCACGAUCCUCAACUAGAAACACCAACACCGGCUCCUCCGCAGGUCUCCAGCUCCACAAUACUCAACUAGAAACACCAACAAUGGCUCCUCCGUGUGUCUCCAACUCCAAACCCGCAACCAGAAACACCAACGACAGCUCCUCCACGGGUCUCCAGCUCCACGACCCACAAACUAGAAAACAACGCUCCACCCUCUAUCUCCAGCACCACAACCCUCAACGAGAAACACCCACAACGGCUCCUCCGCAGGUCUCCAGCUCCACGAUCCUCAACUAGAAACACUAACAAUGUCUACUCCACGUGUCUCCAACUCCCAACCCUUAACCAGAAACACCAACGACAGCUCCUCCAUGGGUCUCCAGCUUCAAGACCCACAAACCAGAAAACAACGCUCCACCCUGUAUCUCCAGCUCCACGACCCUCAAACAAAGACCCCCACAGCGGCUAUUCCGCCAUCGACACCUCGAUGACCCUCAACUAGAAACACCAACUCCGGCUCCUGCAUCGGUCUCCAGCUCCACAACCCUCAACUAGAAGCACCAACUCCAGCUCCUCCACAGGUCUCCAGCUCCACGACCCACAAAUCAGAAAACAACGCUCCACCCUGUAUCUCUAGCUCCACAAUCCUGAAUGAGAAACACCACCACCGGCUCCUACACGGGUCUCCAUCUCCACGACCCACAAACUAGAAAACAACGCUCCACCCUGUAUCUCCAGCUCCACAAUCCUCAACAAGAAACACCACCACUGGCUCCUCUGCGGGUCUCCAGCUCAAACACCCACAAAGUAGAAAACAACACUCCACCCUGUAUCUUCAGAUCCACAACCCUCAACGAGAAACACCAACAAAGGCUCCUCCAUUGGUAUCCAGCUCCACGAUCAUCAACUAGAUACACCAAAAAUGGCUCCUCCGUAUGUCUCCAACUCCAUGACCCUCAACCAGAAACGCGAUCGACAGCUCCUCCAUGGGUCUCCAGGUCCGUGACCCACAAACUAGAAAACAACGCUCCACCCUGUAUCUCCAGCUCCAUGACCGUAAAACAAAAACACCAACAGCGGCUACUCCGCCGUUUCCAUCUCGAUGACCCUCAACUAGAAACACCAACUCCAGCUCCUCCAUGGGUCUCCAGCUCCACGACCCUCAACGAGAAACACCAUCUCCAGCUCCUCCACAGGUCUCCAGCUCCAUGACCCACAAAACAGUAAACAAUGUUCCACCCUGUAUCUCCAGCUCUACAAACAUCAACUAGAAACACCAACUGCAGUUCCUCCACGAAUCUCCAGCUCCAAAACCCUCAACUACAAACACCAACAUGGGCUCCUCCGCAGGUCUCCAGCUCCACGAUCCUCAAUUAGAAACAACAAAACCGGCUCCUCCGCGGUUCUCCAGCUCCGCAAAUCACAAACUAGAAAACAAAGCAUCACCCUAUAUCUCCAGCUCCACGACCCUCAACUAAAAACACCAACUCCAGCUCCUCCACAGGUCUCCAGCUCCAUGACCCAAAAACCAGAAAACAGCGCUCCACCUUGUAUCUCUAGCUCCACAACCCUUAAUGAGAAACACCACCACCGGCUCCUACACGGCUCUCCAGCUCCAUAACCCACAAACUAGAAAACAAUGCUCCACCCUGUAUCUCCAGCUCCACAACCCUCUACGAGAAAAACCAACAACGACUCCUCCGCGGGUCUCCAGCUCCACGAUCCUCAACUAGAAACACCAACAAUGGCUCCACCACGUGUCUCCAACUCCAAACCCUCAAGCGGAAACACCAACGACAGCUCCUCCACAGGUCUCCAGCUCCACGACCCACAAACUAGAAAACAACGCUCCACCCUGUAUCUCCAGCUCCACACACAUCAACUAGAAACACCAACUGCAGUUCCUCCUCGAGUCUCCAGCUCCAAAACCCUCAACUACAAACACCAACAUGGGCUCCUCCGCAGGUCUCCAGCUCCACGAUCCUCAUUAGAAACAACAAAACCGGCUCCUCUGCAGGUCUCCAGCUCUGCAAACCACAAACUAGAAAACAACGCAUCACCUUAUAUCUCCAGCUCCACAACAGUCACCGAGAAACACCGACAAUGGCACCUCCAUGGGUCUCCAACUCCCCAAACCUCAACUAGAAACACGAACACCGGCUCCUCCGUGGGUCUCCAGCAACACGACCCUCAACUACAAACACCAACACUGACUCCUGGCAGGUCUCCAGCUCAACGACAUUCAACUAGAAACACCAACAGCUUCUCCUCCGCAGGCCUCCAGCACCAUGACCCUCAGCAAGAAACACUAACACCGGAUCCUCCACGGGACUCCAGCUCCACGAUCCUCAACUAGAAACACCAACACUGGCUCCUCCGCGGGUCUCCAGCUCCACGAUCCUCAACUAGAAACACCAACAAUGGAUCCUCCGCGUGUCUCCAACUCCAAACCCACAACCACAAACACCAACGACAGCUCCUCCAUGGGUCUCCAGCUUCACGACCCACAAACUAGAAAACAAGGCUCCAUCCUGUAUCUCCAGCUCCACGACCCUCAAACAAAGACCCCCACAGCGGCUAUUCCGCCAUCGACACCUUGAUGACCCUCAACUAGAAACACCAACUCCAGCUCCUCCAUGGGUCUCCAGCUCCACGACCCUCAACUAGAAACACCAACUCCAGCUCCUCCACAGGUCUCCAGCUCCAUGACCCACAAACCAGAAAACAACGCUCCACCCUGUAUCUCUAGCUCCACAAUCCUCAACGAGAAACACAACCACCGGCUCCAACACGGGUCUCCAGCUCCACGACCCACACACUAGAAAACAAUGCUCCACCCUGUAUCUCCAGCUCCACAACCCUCAACGAGAAACACCACCACUGGCUCCUCUGCAGGUCUCCAGCUCCACGCCCCACAAACUAGAAAAAACGCUCCACCCUGUAUCUCCAGCUCCACAACCCUCUACGAGAAACACCAACAACGGCUCCUCCGCGGGUCUCCAGCUCCAUGAUCCUCAACUAGAAACACCACCACUGGCUCCUCCACAGGUCUCCAGCUCCAUGACCCACAAACCAGAAAACAAUGCUCCACCCUGUAUCUUCAGCUCCACAACCUUCAAUGAGAAACACCAACAACGGCUCCUGUGCGGGUAUCCAGCUCCAUGAUCAUCAACUAGAAACCCCAACAAUGGCUCCUCCGCAUGUCUCCAACUCCACGACCCUCAACCAGAAACACCAUCGAAACCUCCUCCACGGGUCUCCAGGUCCGUGACCCACAAACUAGAAAACAACGCUCCACCCUGUAUCUCCAGCUCCACGACCCUCAAAGAAAAACACCAAGAUCGGCUGUUCCACCGUCUCCACCUCGAUGACCCUCAAUUAGAAACACCAAUUCCAGGUCCUCCACGGGUCUCCAGCUCCAUGACCCACAAACUAGAAAACAACGCUCCACCCUGUAUCUCCAGCUCCAUGACCGUUAAAGAAAAACACCAACAGCGGCUACCCCGCCAUUUCCAUCUCGAUGACCCUCAACUAGAAACACCAACUCCAGCUCCUCCAUGGGUCUCCAGCUCCACGACCCUCAACUAGAAACACCAAUUCCAGCUCCUCCACUGGUCUCCAGCUCCAUGACCCACAAACUAGAAAACAAUGCUCCACCCUGUAUCUCCAGCUCCACAAACAUCAACUAGAAACACCAACUGCAGAUCCUCCGCGAAUCUCCAGCUCCAAAACCCUCAACUACAAACACCAACAUGGGCUCCUCCGCAUGUCUCCAGCUCCACGAUCCUCAAUUAGAAACAACAAAACCGGCUCCUCCGCGGGUCUCCUGCACCAGAAACCACAAACUAGAAAAGAACGCAUGACCCUAUAUCUCCAGCUCCACGACCCUCAAGUAAAAACAACUCCAGCUCCUCCACAGGUCUCCAGCUCCAUGACCCACAAACUAGAAUACAAUGCUCCACCCUGUAUCUCCAGCUCCACAACCCUCAAACAAAGACACCAACAGCGGCCAUUCCGCCAUCGCCACCUCGAUGACCCUCAACUAGAAACACCAACUCCGGCUCCUUCAUGGGUCUCCAGCUCCACGACCCUCAACUAGAAACACCAACUCCAGCUCCUCCACAGGUCUCCAGCUUCACGACCCACAAACCAGAAAACAAUGCUCCACCCUGUAUCUGUAGCUGCACAACCCUCAAUGAGAAACACCACCACCAGCUCCUACACGGGUCUCCAUCUCCACGACCCACAAACUAGAAAACAAUGCUCCACCCUGUAUCUCCAGCUCCACAACCCUCAACGAGAAACACCACCACCGGCUCCUCUGCAGGUCUCCAGCUCCACGACCCACAAACUAGAAAACAAAGCUCCACCCUGUAUCUCCAGCUCCAAAACCCUCAACAAGAAACAGCAACAAUGGCUCCUCCAUGGGUCUCCAGCUCCACGAUCCUCAACUAGAAACACUAACAAUGGCUCCUCCGCGUGUCUCCAACUCCAAACCCUCAACCAGAAACACCAACGACAGCUCCUCUACGGGUCUUCAGCUCCACGACCCACAAACUAGAAAACAACGCUCCACCCUGUAUCUCCAGUUCCAUGACCCUCGAACAAAGACACCCACAGCGGCCAUUCCGCCAUCGACACCUCGAUGACCCUCAACUAGAAACACCAACUCCGGCUCUUCCUUGGGUCUCCAGCUCCACGACGCUCAACUAGAAACACCAACUCCAGCUCCUCCACAGGUCUCCAGCUCCAUGACCCACAAACCAGAAAAAAACGCUCCACCCUGUAUCUCUAGCUCCACAACCCUCAACGAGAAACACCACCACCGGCUCCUCUGCGGGUCUCCAGCUCCACAAUCAUCAACUAGAAACACCAAAAAUAGCUCCUCCGCGUGUCUCCAACUCCAUGACCCUCAACCAGAAACACCAUCGACACCUCCUCCACGGGUCUCCAGGUCCGUGACCCGCAAACUAGAAAACAACGCUCCACCCUGUAUCUCCAGCUCCACGACACUCAAAGAAAAACACCAAGAGUGGCUACUCCGCCGUCUCCACCUCGAUGACCCUCAAUUAGAAACACCAACUCCAGCUCCUCCAUGGGUCUCCAGCUCCACGACCCUCAACUAGAAACACCAACUCCAGCUCCUCCACAGGUCUCCAGCUCCAUGACCCACAAACUAAAAAACAACGAUCCACCCUGUAUCUUCAGUUCCAUGAUGGUCAAACAAACACACCAACAGCGGCUACUCUGCCGUCUCCACCUCAAUGACCCUCAACUAGAAACACCAACUCCGGCUCCUCCAUCGGUCUCCAGCUCCACUAACCUCAAUUAGAAACACCAACUGCAGCUCCUCCACAGGUCUCCAACUCCACAACCCACAAACCAGAAAACAACGCUCCACCUUUUAUCUGUAGCUCCACAAGCCUCAACAAGAAACACCACCACCGGCUCCUCCAUGGGUCUCCAGCUCCACGACCCACAAACUAGAAAACAAUGCUCUACCCUGUAUCUUCAGCUCCACGACCCUCAAACAAAAACACCAACAGUGACUACUCUGCCGUCUCCAUGUCAAUGACCCUCAACUAGAAACACCAACUCCGGCUCCUCCAUGGGUCUCCAGCUCCACGACCCUCAACUAGAAUCACCAACUCUAGCUCCUCCACGGGUCUCCAGCUCCAAUACCCACAAACUAGAAAACAGCUCUCCACCCUGUAUCUCCAGCUCCACAGACAUCAACUAGAAACACCAACUGCAGUUUCUCCGCGAGUCUCCAGCUCCAAAACCCUCAACUACAAACACCAAGACAGGCUCCUCUGUAGGUCUCCAGCUCCACAAUCGCCAAUUAGAAACAACAAAACCGGCUCCUCCGCAGGUCUCCAGCUCUACAAAGCACAAACUAGAAAACAACGCAUCACCCUGUAUCUCCAGCUCCACAACAGUCAACGAGUAAGACCAACAAUGGCUCCUCCACGGGUCUCCAACUCCAAAACCUCAACUACAAACACCAACACUGGCUUCUCCUCGGGUCUCCUGUGACAUGACUCUGAACUACAAACACCAACACCAGCUCCUGGUGGGUCUCCAGCUCCACGACAUUCAACGAGAAACACCAACAGCUUCUCCUCCGCAGGUCUCCAGCACCAUGACCCUCAGCAAGAAACACCAACACCGGAUCCUCCGUGGGACACCAGCUCCACGAUCCUCAACUAGAAACACCAACACCGGCUCCUCCACGGGUCUCCAGCUCCACGAUCCUCAACUAGAAACACCAACAAUGGAUCCUCCGCGUGUCUCCCACUCCAAACCCUCAACCAGAAACACCAACGACAGCUCCUCCACGGGUCUCCAGCUCCACAACCCACAAAGUAGAAAACAACGCUCCACCCUGUAUCUCCAGCUCCACAACACUCAACAAGAAACACCACCACCGGCUCCUCUGCGGGUCUCCAGCUCCACGACCCACAAACUAGAAAACAAAGCUCCACCCUGUAUCUCCAGCUCCACGAACCUCAAACAAAGACCCCCACAGCGGCCAUUCCGCCAUCGCCACCUCAAUGACCCUUAACUAAAAACACCAACUCCGGCUCCUCCAUGGGUCUCCAGCUCCACGACCCUCAACUAGAAACACCAACUCCUCCUCCACGGGUCUCCAGCGCCAUGACCCACAAACUAGAAAACAACACUCCACCCUGUAUCUCCAGCUCCAUGACCAUCAAACGAAACCACAAACAGCGGCUACUCCGCCAUUUCCAUCUCGAUGACCCUCAACUAGAAACACCAACUCCUGCUCCUCCAUGGGUCUCUAGCUCCACGACCCUCAAAUAGAAACACCAACUCCAGCUCCUCCACGGGUCUCCAGCUCCAUGACCCACAAACUAGAAAACAAUGCUCCACCCUGUAUCUCCAGCUCCACAGUCAUCAACUAGAACCACUAAAUGCAGUUCCUCUGCGAGUCUCCAGCUCGAAAACCCUCAACUACAAACACCAACAUGGGCUACUCCACAAGUCUCCAGCUCCACGAUUCUCAAUUAAAAACAACAAAACCGGCUCCUCUGUGGGUCUCCAGCUCCACAAACCACAAACUAGAACAUGACGCAUCACCCUAUAUCUCCAGCUCCACAACAGUCAAUGAGAAACACCAACAAUGGCUCCUCCACGGGUCUCCAACUCCCCAAACCUCAACUAGAAACACCAACACCGGCUCCUCCACGGGUCUCCAGCAACACGACCCUCCACUACAAACACCAACACUGGCUCCUGGCGGGUCUCCAGCUCCACGACAUUCAACGAGAAACACCAACAGCUUCUCCUCCGCAUGUCUGCAGCACCAUGACUCUCAGCAAGAAACACCAACACCGGAUCCUCCAUGGGACUCCAGCUCCACGAUCCUCAACUAGAAACACCAACAACGGCUCCUCCGCGGGUCUCCAGCUCCACGAUUCUCAGCUAGAAACACCAAAAAUGGCUCCUCCGCAUGUCUCCAACUCCAAACCCUCAACGAGAAACACCAACGACAGCUCCUCCACGGGUCUCCAGCUCCACGACCCACAAACUAGAAAACAACGCUCCACCCUGUAUCUCCAGCUCGAUGACCCUCAAACAAAGACACCAACAGCGGCCAUUCCACCAUCGCCACCUUGAUGACCCUCAACUAGAAACAUCAACUCUGGCUCCUUCAUGGGUCUCCAGCUCCACGACCUUCAACUAGAAACACCAACUCCAGCUCCUCCACAGGUCUCCAGCUCCACGACCCACCAACCAGAAAACAACGCUCCACCCUGUAUCUCUAGCUCCACAACCCUCAAUGAGAAACACCACCAGCGGCUCCUACACGGGUCCCCAGCUCCACGACCCACAAACUAGAAAACAGUGCUCCACCCUGUAUCUCCAGCUCCACAACCCUCAACGGGAAACACCAACAACGGCUCCUCCACGGGUCUCCAGCUCCACGAUCCUCAACUAGAAACACUUACAAUGGCUCCUCCGCGUGUCUCCAACUCCAAACCCGCAACCAGAAACACCAACGACAGCUCCUCCACGGGUCUCCAGCUCCACAACCCACAAACUAGAAAACAAUGCUCCACCCUGUAUCUCCAGCUCCACGACCCUCAAACAAAGACCCCCACAGCGGCCAUUCCGCCAUCGACACCUCGAUGACCCUAAACUAGAAACACCAACUCCAGCUCCUCCAUGGGUCUCCAGCUCCACGACCCUCAACUAGAAAUACCAACUCCACCUCCUCCACAGGUCUCCAGCUCCACGACCCACAAACCAGAAAACAACGCUCCACCCUGUAUCUCCAGCUCCAUAACCCUCAUCGAGAAACACCACAAACGGCUCCUCCACAGGUCUCCAGCUCCACGACCCACAAACCAGAAAACAAUGCUCCACCCUGUAUCUCCAGCUCCACAACCCUCAACGAGAAACACCACAACCGGCUCCUCUGCAGAUCUCCAGCUCCACGACCCACAAACUAGAAAACAACGCUCCACCCUGUAUCUCCAGCUCCACAACCCUCAACGAGAAACACCAACAACGGUUCCUCGGUGGGUAUCUAGCUCCACAAUCAUCAACUAGAAACAACAAAAGUGGCUCCUCUGCGUGUCUCCAACUCCACAACCCUCAACCAGAAACACCAUCGACAGCUCCUCCACGGGUCUCCAGGUCCGUGACCCACAAACUAGAAAACAACACUCCACCCUGUAUCUCCAGCUCCACGACCCUCAAGAAAAAACACCAAGAGUGGCUACUCCGCCGUCUCCACCUCGAUGACCCUCAAUUAGAAACACCAACUCCAGCUCCUCCAUGGGUCUCCAGCUCCACGACUCUCAACUAGAAACACCAAGUCCAGCUCCUCCACGGGUCUCCAGCUCCACGACUCUCAACUAGAAACACCAAGUCCAGCUCCUCCACGGGUCUCCAGCUCCACAACCCACAAACCAGAAAACAACACUCCACCCUAUAUCUCUAGCUCCACAACCCUCAACGAGAAACACCACCACAGGCUCCUACACGGGUCUCCAGCUCCACGACCCACAAACUAGAAAACAAUGCUCCACAACCCUCAACGAGAAACACCACCACCGGCUCCUCUGUGGGUCUCCAGCUCCACGACCCACAAACUAGAAAACAACGCUCCACCCUGUAUCUCCAGCUCCACAACCCUCAAUGAGAAACACCAACAACGGCUCCUCCUCAGGUCUCCAGCUCCACAGCCUAAGUCAUGAGAGGCAGCACUGGCUCUUCCCGUAGAUUCCAGAUCCGAGACCCUCAGAUUCGAAUUGCAGGACCUCUUCCCCACUAGAUCUCCAGCUGCACAAUACUCAAACUGCAACAACAUCAGCUCCUCCUAGGGUGUCCAGCUGCAUGACCCUCAAACUAGAACAGCUCCUCCCAGGGUCUUCAGCUCCACGGCCCUCAAACUAUAAAGACAACAGCUCCUGCCUGCAUCCCCAGCUCUACAACCGUCAAACUAGAACACCAGUUCCUCUCCAGGUGUCCAGCUCCACGGCUCUCAAAGGAAAACAACAUCAGCUCCUCCCUAGUUCUCCAGCUGUACGACCCUCAAAUUGGAACAUGAGCUCCCCGCCGCGUCUCCAGCUGCAUUGCCCUUAAACUGGAACAUCAGCUUCUGGGCCCUGAAACUGGAACAUCAGCUCCCACCGGGUCUCCAGCUGCAUCGCCCUCAAAGUGGAACAUUGGCGCCACCCUGAAUCUCCAGUUGCACGGCCCUCAAACUGGAACAUCAACUCCCCCACGGUUCUCCAGCUGCAUGGCCCUCAAACUGGAACAUCAGCUCCCCUCCUGGUCUCCAGCUGCACGGUUCUCAAACUAGAACAUCAGCUCUCUUGCCAUGUGUCCAGCUGCACGGACCUCAAACUGCAACAUCAGCUCCCCGCUGAGUCUCCAGCUGCAUGGCGCUCAAACUGGAACAUCAGCUCUCUGCCCUGUGUCUACCUGCACGGCCCUCAAACUGGAACAUCAGCUCCCCACUGGGUCUACAGCAGCACUGCCCUCAAACUGGAGCAUUAGCUUACCCCUGUGUGUCCAGCUCCCCGGCCCUCCAAUUGGAACAUCAGCUUCCUGAUGAGUCUCCAGAUGCACGGCCCUCAAACUGGAACACCAGCUCCCCCCCGGGUCUCCAGCUACACGGCUCUCAAACUGGAACAUCAGCUCCCCCCAGAUCUACAGCUGCACGGCCCUCAAA
This is a long non-coding RNA of Macaca mulatta (Rhesus monkey), 16436 nucleotides long. RefSeq lists it as uncharacterized. The record is from RefSeq and is a predicted model, not a curated record. Lineage: Eukaryota; Metazoa; Chordata; Mammalia; Primates; Cercopithecidae.